RNAcentral lists this ribosomal RNA (672 nucleotides) under uncultured bacterium. Its description in RNAcentral is "bacterial SSU rRNA". The stretch from base 1 to 517 matches the Rfam family "Bacterial small subunit ribosomal RNA", at positions 338 to 873 of the family's 1533-position model. The record is from RNAcentral.
CCUACGGGAGGCAGCAGUGGGGAAUUUUGGACAAUGGGCGCAAGCCUGAUCCAGCCAUUCCGCGUGAGUGAAGAAGGCCUUCGGGUUGUAAAGCUCUUUCGCAAGGGAAGAAAGAUUACAUUCUAAUAUAAUGUGAUUAUGACGGUACCUUGAUAAGAAGCACCGGCUAACUACGUGCCAGCAGCCGCGGUAAUACGUAGGGUGCGAGCGUUAAUCGGAAUUACUGGGCGUAAAGCGUGCGCAGGCUGUUUUGUAAGUCAGAUGUGAAAUCCCCGAGCUCAACUUGGGAACUGCGUUUGAAACUACAAGACUAGAAUAGGUCAGAGGGGGGUAGAAUUCCACGUGUAGCAGUGAAAUGCGUAGAGAUGUGGAGGAAUAUCAAUGGCGAAGGCAGCCCCCUGGGAUCAUAUUGACGCUCAUGCACGAAAGCGUGGGAGCAAACAGGAUUAGAUACCCUGUAGUCCACGCCUAAACGANNACACUAGUUGUUGUAGUAAGUAAAUAUAUAGAGAACGACGAGACGUAACGACGUAGGUAAGGUUACGGUAACCGGUCCGGUGGGGUUAGGUUACGUAGUUACGACGAAGAAAGUUAAAACGUUAACGUAAAGUUAGUUAAGUUAGGACGGACGUUAGAGACGACGACCGACGGACGACGACGGAGGGAGGUAGG